CUCUCUUCUACUGCAUCCUCCCCGCCAUCUAGCUACCCUAUGUCUCCAGACUACCAUUAUGUUUUCUUCUUUCACAGCCUUUCAGCCUUUACUUCAAACAUUUAGCAAAUCAAAAACAUAACACUGGAAUGUCAACUUGAGUUAUGUGUAAUAUCAUGUUACAUACUCAGACCAGCUGUACCCGACGUGGUCACUAGAUGUCACUAGAGUCCUGGAAAUGCCAGAUUUCACUAGCUUGGACRCACACACACAUUUAGGUUAGAAAAGUCUGUUUCUAUUGUUUUAUUUCUUUAGUCUGUUUGUCAAUGUCUGCAUCCCUUAAUUUUUUUUCAACAGCCGUCCAUCUCUCCUAACCAGAGUACAAUCAUCUCAUAACGUUUUUAUGGAACACCUGACGAUGGCAGCGGAGGAGGAAAGUGCUGACUACAGCUGAUCUAGGAGCCAACUAACAAGCCAAACGCAGGGGCUCUUUUCUACUCUUCAAAUCAAGCAUCUAGUUUAUCAUCCAUGGGAUGCAAGGGAAAUACUAUAGCUAGUCUAUCAAUCAAUAAGGAUUUAUACUGGGGAGGGGUAAGGGGUCAGGGGUGGGUUAGGGGUAUUGAUUGUACAGUGUGGGUCUCUGUUGAUUGGACAGUGAGACAGUUUAAUUGGAGAGGCUUACUAGUGGCUAAGAACUAUAAUAUUAAAAUGAUGCCUAAACUGUGUUGCCUUGGUAAAAGAUACAAGUGAUUUAUUGAGAAAGCACUUUAAUACUCAUGUUGGCAGGUUUUGGGGGAUUUUAAAUUCAAAGUUAAACUGUAGGUGAAGAUAGAUUUUUUGUAUUUUCUUCGAUAACARCUGUUCUGGGGUUUUCUGUAUAACUUGUUUGUGUUAUUGAGAAACACAUUCUUUGAUUGCUUUUGUUGCCUUAAAUUAGUCCAAUCUGA
Long non-coding RNA from Salvelinus sp. IW2-2015, 926 nucleotides. RefSeq lists it as uncharacterized. Lineage: Eukaryota; Metazoa; Chordata; Actinopteri; Salmoniformes; Salmonidae. The record is from RefSeq and is a predicted model, not a curated record.